RNAcentral lists this long non-coding RNA (270 nucleotides) under Mytilus galloprovincialis (Mediterranean mussel). Lineage: Eukaryota; Metazoa; Mollusca; Bivalvia; Mytilida; Mytilidae. The record is from RNAcentral.
UUUUUCUAAUCAAAGCGCGAAAGCGCUGUAAAGGCAGUUAAUUACAGGUUGUGUGUAUUUCUAGUCCAGUUAUAUCAUUAUCUUCCAUAGAACAGAGGUGGUUUGUAGAAUUUAAGAUUUAGAGUUCUUUUGUACCUAGUUCACCUAUAUCUAGUCUACUGUUUACAGUAUAUUUUCUGUGCCUCCCAUGAAAUGCAUUUUUAGCCAUGGCCUUGUCAGUUUGCUUUAAAUUUAUGAGUUUGACUGUCCCUUUGGUGUAUUUCGUCCCUC